This 69-nucleotide transfer RNA is filed under the name Pecten maximus. RNAcentral's name for it is "transfer RNA-Lys". It matches the Rfam family "tRNA". Rfam says of the family: Transfer RNA (tRNA) molecules are approximately 80 nucleotides in length. Lineage: Eukaryota; Metazoa; Mollusca; Bivalvia; Pectinida; Pectinidae. The record is from RNAcentral.
GGGUUGAUAGCUUAAAGAGAGUGUUGAACUUUUGAUUCAAAGGUAGGGAGUAAAAUGCCCUUCAGCCUU